AUUUACACGACCCAUAGAUAUGAUCGAUAAUGUAUUAUUUUGUUUUCCGAUACGUAUUAUGAUGUACAGAUGUUUGACAACUUUGCAGAGUUACGAUCAGCAAGUUUGAACAAAUAACCAUCUACAACGCCAUGCAUACCUCGAUAUCCAGUCAAAUCUAAUUCAGUAAUUGGCCUCACCGUUGUUUUUAUGGGUUUGAUCGGUUAUCUUGCUGUCAAAUUAAAUCCGGCUGAAUGAUCCGUUUAGCAACCCCAGCUAAUCUCCGAUAAUCCCACAUUUUAUCUGGAAAACUGUGAAAAGUCUACACCGCCUGUGGCAUUUUGGGGAUUAAAAUUACAUUUGUAGAUGAAUAUUUUUAAAAUUGGUCUCAUUUUAAAGCUA
Long non-coding RNA from Dreissena polymorpha, 381 nucleotides. RefSeq lists it as uncharacterized. The record is from RefSeq and is a predicted model, not a curated record. The transcript is spliced from 3 exons. NCBI's taxonomy places the organism in Eukaryota, Metazoa, Mollusca, Bivalvia, Myida, Dreissenidae.